GACGAACCGAGCGAACGUUGUUCGGAAUCACUGGGCUUAAAGGGCGCGUAGGCGGGCUGCCGCGUCCGGGGUGAAAUCCUCCGGCUCAACCGGGGAAGGGCCUCGGGUACGGGCGGCCUCGAGGGGGGUAGGGGCGUGCGGAACUGUGGGUGGAGCGGUGAAAUGCGUAGAGAUCGGGAAGAACACCAAUGGCGAAGGCAGCCUCCUGGGCCAACAUUGACGCUGAGACGCGAAAGCGUGGGGAGCAAACAGG
This 253-nucleotide ribosomal RNA is filed under the name uncultured bacterium. Its description in RNAcentral is "partial 16S ribosomal RNA". It matches the Rfam family "Bacterial small subunit ribosomal RNA", at positions 524 to 776 of the family's 1533-position model. The record is from RNAcentral.